GAUUCUUCCCAAUUCUACCGCCACCAUUCUGGUUCAAGCUACCUGUAUGAGGAACAGAAAGAAAAAUGAAGAAAAGUAAACAGAGUCCAAGGGACCUGUGGGACAUCAUCAAGUGAACUAACAUAUGCAUUACAGGAGUCUCAAGAGGGGAAGUGCAAUAGGAUCAGAAAGAAUGUUUGAAGAAAUAAUGGUUGAAAAACUCCCAAAUUUGAUGAAAGAGGUGAAUCUACAUAUCCAAGAAGCUCAAUGAACUCUAAAGAGACCCACACUGAGACGUGUUAUAGUCAAACUGUCAAAAGCCAAAGACAAUGAAAACAACAAGAGAGAAACAACUCAUCACAUACAAGAGAGCCUUAAUAAAAUUACUAGCUGAUUUCUUAUAAAAAACCAUGGAGACCAGAAAAUAAGAAUGUCGAUCAAGAAUUCUAUAUCUGACAAAACUAUUCCUAAAGAAAUUCUCAGAUAAACAAAAGCUACAGAAUUUACUAGUAGACCUGCCCUACAAGAAAUGCUAAAGAGAAUCUCUCAGAUUGAAAUUAAAGGACAUCAGACAGUAACUUGAAGCCAUAUGAAAAAAUAAAGAGCAAUUGUGAAAAAU
RNAcentral lists this long non-coding RNA (598 nucleotides) under Homo sapiens (human). RNAcentral's name for it is "ZNF451 regulatory antisense RNA 1". The record is from RNAcentral. Lineage: Eukaryota; Metazoa; Chordata; Mammalia; Primates; Hominidae.